RNAcentral lists this ribosomal RNA (431 nucleotides) under uncultured bacterium. Its description in RNAcentral is "partial 16S ribosomal RNA". It matches the Rfam family "Bacterial small subunit ribosomal RNA", at positions 338 to 795 of the family's 1533-position model. The record is from RNAcentral.
CCUACGGGUGGCAGCAGUGGGGAAUUUUCCGCAAUGGGCGAAAGCCUGACGGAGCAAUACCGCGUGAGGGAAGACUGCCUAUGGGUUGUAAACCUCUUUUUUCAGGGAGACGGUACCUGAAGAAUAAGCAUCGGCUAACUCCGUGCCAGCAGCCGCGGUAAGACGGAGGAUGCAAGUGUUAUCCGGAAUCACUGGGCGUAAAGCGUCUGUAGGUGGUUUAAUAAGUCAACUGUUAAAUCUUGAGGCUCAACUUCAAAAUCGCAGUCGAAACUAUUAGACUAGAGUAUAGUAGAGGUAAAGGGAAUUUCCAGUGGAGCGGUGAAAUGCGUAGAUAUUGGAAAGAACACCGAUGGCGAAAGCACUUUACUGGGCUAUCUAACACUCAGAGACGAAAGCUAGGGUAGCAAAUGGGAUUAGAUACCCUUGUAGUC